AUAAUAAUAAUUACAACUUUCAACAACGGAUCUCUUGGUUCUGGCAUCGAUGAAGAACGCAGCGAAAUGCGAUAAGUAGUGUGAAUUGCAGAAUUCAGUGAAUCAUCGAAUCUUUGAACGCACAUUGCGCCCUUUGGUAUUCCAAAGGGCAUGC
RNAcentral lists this ribosomal RNA (154 nucleotides) under Alternaria oudemansii. RNAcentral's name for it is "5.8S ribosomal RNA". It matches the Rfam family "5.8S ribosomal RNA". From Rfam's summary of the family: 5.8S ribosomal RNA (5.8S rRNA) is a component of the large subunit of the eukaryotic ribosome. It is transcribed by RNA polymerase I as part of the 45S precursor that also contains 18S and 28S rRNA. The record is from RNAcentral. Lineage: Eukaryota; Fungi; Ascomycota; Dothideomycetes; Pleosporales; Pleosporaceae.